Molecule: long non-coding RNA, 6780 nt
Filed under: Lactuca sativa (garden lettuce)
Lineage: Eukaryota; Viridiplantae; Streptophyta; Magnoliopsida; Asterales; Asteraceae
Description: long non-coding RNA (LSAT_LNC001438)
Source: RNAcentral
UGCCAGAUAAUUUCAUUUUAUUAAACUGUUUUUACUAUAUUAUGUUUCAAAACAAUUAGUAUGUUUGAUAAUGACCGAGAACACCGUGAAUAAUUUAAUACUAGCUUGUGAGACUAUCUUCAUUAAACCCUUCGGGUCAUCAGUAAAUCCUCCCCGGAAGUGUAACCAGAGUCUCCUGGAGGGAGAGCGUAGAAUUUGUGAAUAGAUCUAUUCGGGACUGACAAUCCCACACCUAAACUGCUAACUACAAUUAGGCAGGCACGCCUGGGGUGACAAAUUCUGGAUAUCGUCUGGCGCCUAAAGAACGUCAAGGAGGUCUCGUUGUCAUAUUAGCAUGGUUACCCGACUCACAAUACGUAUUAAUAUAAUUUUAUUCACGGAUUUUUAUAUCUAUCGUUGAUCUAUAGAUUUUAUAUCUAGUACGGGAUGGUAUUCCCAUGGUUUUUAUAUCUAGUACGGGAUGGUAAUCCCAUGGCUUUCAAUCUAUAGUUUUUGUGUAUUAAAACUACCUUAUAUCUAGUACGGGAUGGUAUUCCCAUGGUUUUCAAUCUAUAUUUUUUAUAUAUUAAAAAUAUCUACUAUUGUACCGGAUGGUAUUCCCAGUGGAUCAUUCAAUAUAUAGUUUUAUGUAUUAAACUAUACAUUGUUGUAUUUAACGGAAAUUCAGAACUUUAACUAAUCUGUCUUUAUAAGAAAAUAUGGGAUUUUCUUGGAUAACAACUUUUCAGAAAACCAAAGGAAACAUGUUCAUUUUCAGAAAACAAAACACUUAUAAACUCACCAGCUUUAUGCUGAUUUUUAAACUGCUUGUAUUCUCAGGUUCUCCUUAGACAGGUAUCCCGCGUUCUUUUGCAGAAGAUGGAGCGUAUGGAAGUCUCGUCACAUUUUUAUUAACUUAUGUAACUACAAAACUUGUAUUACUUUACUUUCAAACAAAUGUAAUGAAUCUAUGUAAUAUAAUGAUUUGCGUUUACUAUGCUUACUAUGUACAUUGGUUACGAUACUUCAUGACGUCCUCCGCCCCGGAACGUUUCCGCCAACAGUUUCAGGGUGUGACAGACUGGUAUCAGAGCCCUUGUUUAUAGUGAACUAGUAUACCAAACCUUACAUGGUAUAAGACUAUAAACACUAAGGGGCCUAAGUGAUAUGAACUAAAAGUAUACUUUAAAAUAUAAGUAUUUUCAAAAGUAUACAAGUAUACCUAACCGCCAGAAAUCUGUAACUACGAGUAGAACAAAACAUAAGUAAAUGGGUGUUGUACACUGCGGUUAAACCUGGGCAGUUAUGUAGUUGUGUCUAGGGUCAAUAUAGCAUGAUCAACUAUAUUCAUUCGAAACAUGACCAACAUGUGCUUGGGAGUGACUGUAGUAUACAGCAUGCCUAAAACUUACCCAAUACCCAAAACAACGAACCGUCGUCGCAACGAAACAUAAAAAUACUAUGGGAGUAUUUUAGCCAAAGCCGAGUACGUUGUAGAAAUUCAUUCCGAGUAUUGCUACUCGUUCCUUCUUUAGCGAUAGUUUAUCUGCUUUGAUAACUCUUCCUGCUUAUCGCUUAUGGAACCUUAUAUCUGUCAUAAAGAGAUAUUCCCUAUUUCAUAUCUCUUGAUACAAUUCAGAGGACUUACCAUCCUCUUUUUCCUAAUCAUUUUAGAUCAUCAUGCCUCCAAAGAAAGGACCCAACUCUAGGAACAACAACUCUCCGCCACCAUAUUCUCCUCCGUUCGACCCUGUAUUAUUUCAGACAGCUCUUACUGCCGCAGUGACGGCUACAAUGACGCUAUUGUACCCUAGCAGGUUUAGUGGACCAGGAAGUAACACCUAUCCUCAAAACCAUGAAGAUGAUCAGGAGUACCAUAAUGAGUGUAAUAAGAGUAAGAAGGUUAUCUGGAAAAAGCGAAAGGGUCAGAGUUCACAAGGACCCUCCAAGAGGCAUGAAUCAGUGGUAGUUCAAGCUACUACUACUCCUUCCGUUGCUCCUACAGCCCAAGCACCUACCACUAGGUAUGCUGGUACCCUCCCUUGGUGCAAUAAGUGCAGUUACCAUCAUCUCGCUUCCAGCCCAUUCCGUGAGAAGUUUUGCAAAAACUGUGGCCAAGAGGGUCACCUUGCGCGAAACUGUAGAACACCAACCCAAUCAACCAGUCAAGCUUCCGGAGCGGGUAUCAGUCAGGCCUGCUACGGUUGUGGUGAAAUCGGUCAUUUCAAGAGAAACUGCCCCAAGGCAGCAACAACUAGCAACGCUGAGAUAGCUCUGGCUAUAAAACAGGAGGAGGCAGCCGCCGACCCCACCGACGUCGUGUUACGUUUCUUCUCGAAAAUUCUUAUACCCGCGUCCUUUUUGAAUCCAGUGCCAAAGAAAUUUUAGUAAUCAUUCAUUCAAGCGUCUUCUUAAACAUAGUCCUCGUCUAGUAACCAAAUCAUUUACCGUCGAGAUAGCUAACGGUGAGAAGAAUACGUCAACGAUAGAUUCAUAGGCUGUACCCUCAUCCUGAACGAUCAUUCCUUUCCCAUCGACCUAAUGCCAAUUUCCAUAGAGAGCUUUGAUGUUAUCAUUGGCAUAGAUUGGUUGAGUUCCAAUCAUCCAGAUAUCCUUGUUACGAAAAAGCCAUCCCUCUUAAUCUCCCCUCUGGUCAGACUCUCAUAAAUCUACAGCGAUAGACUUAAUUCCAAUCUUAGUAUUAUAUUAUGCAUCAAAGCUCAAAGGCUUCUAUGAAAGGAGCGUCGCGCAUUCCUAGCUCAUGUAAUCAACGAGAAAACAAAUAGUUAAAGAUCUCGAGAGCAUCCCCGAAGUCUGCAACUUUCCUGAUGUCUUUCCCGAAGAGCUACCGGAAAUUCCUGCCGAACGUCAAGUCAAGUUUUGCAUCGAUCUAAUUCCUGGAGCUACCCUCGUAGUCAAGCCCCUGUAUCGAUUAGCGCCAACAGUAAUGCGGGAGUUAUCUAGUCAGUUUAAUGAGCUACUCAGCAAAGGAUUCAUCAGACCGAGUUCCUCACCCUGGGGAGCCUCGGUAUUGUUGUGAAGAAGAAAGAUGGAUCCUUUCAGAUAUGUAUAGACUACCACGAGUUGAACAAGUUGACCGUCAAAAACCGAUAUCCUAUUCCUCGAAUAGAUGACCUUUUCGACCAAUUUUAGGGAGCCAGUUACUUCUCGAAGAUAGACCUCAGAUCAGGGUACCAUUAGAUUUGAGUUCACGAGAAUGAUGUUUCCAAGACAACAUUCAGGACUCGAUAUGGACACUACGAGUUCGUAGUGAUACCCUUCGACCUAAUCACUUUACUUGGUCAUGUGGUAAGCAAGGAAGGCAUACACGUGGACCCAUCCAAAAUUCAAGGCGAUCGAGAAUUGGUCAGCACUGAAGGCACCCACAGAAAUCCGUCAAUUCUUGGGUCUCGCUGGCUACUAUCGCAGGUUCAUCCAAAAUUUUUCUAGAAUCGCCAAACCCUUAACUACUUUGACACAAAAAGACUUAAACAUAAGGCAACAACCGAUAAGUAGAGAUGCUCAGUGUUAUGAGUGUGAAAUCCGCUACCAUCCCGGCAAGGCCAAUGUGGUAGCAGAUACCCUGACCCGAAAAGAAGAGUUCAAGCCGCAAGAUGGAAAGACUCACAUGAACCUACAUCCAAGAGAUAGUCCGACUACACGGUGUACCUGCAUCUAUUAUCUAUGAACGAGAUAGCCGGUUUACCUCAAGGUUUUGGCAGUCCCUUCAGAAAGCUCUCAGAACUAAGUUGGACUUGAGAACGGCAUAUCAUCCUCAGACUAACGGACAGAGUAAGAGAAUUAUCCAGAUCCUAGAAGACAUACUAAGGACAUGUGUCAUCGAUUUCGGAAAAUUAUGGAACACCCAUUUACCCUUGACUGAAUCAUCAUAGACCUGCAUUAAGACUACCUCGUUCGAAGCCCUCUACGGUCGCAAGUACAAGAUCCCUUCUGUGCUGUACCGAGAUAGAGGACGCGCAACUAGUCAAGAGACCAUUUCCCUGACAGUGCCUUCUCUGGUACUUAAAAUCACCCAUGAAACGGCCGAGAAAAUCAUCCAGAUCCGAGAUCGACUGAGAAGCUUCACGAGACAGACAGAAGUGUACGCCGAUAAACUACGAAAACUCUUAGAAUUCUAGAUUGGAAACCAUGUCCUGUUGAAGGUCUUGCCCUGGAAAGACAUGGUAUGCUUUGGAAGCACGGAAAAAAAAAAACUUAACCCGAGAUACAUAGAACCUUUCGAAAUCCUAGCCAGGAUCCGUCCUGUAGCCCAUAAACCCCAACUACCUUUAGGACUUAGCUGCAUCCAUCCUGUAUUCUACGUCUCCAAUCUUAAGAAGCACCUAUCAGAUGAGACCCUAGUAACUCCUCUUUAUGAGAUCAAGAUCAACCGAAGUCUGAACUUCAUGGAAGAACCAACCGAAGCCAUAGAUCGAGAGAUUAGAUGUACGAAACAAAGCCGUAUCCUGAUAGUGAAAGUUCGUUGGAAUGCCUAGCAGGAACCCCAGUUCACUUGGGAGCACGAAGACUCGAUAAGACAAAUAUCCGCAUCUUUUCGAUUAUAUGAUUUGUAUCUUAAGUUUUGAAUUUCGGGACGAAAUUCCCUCUAACGGAGGGAUAAUGUUACAACCGAAAUUUAUUCCGUCAUGAUAUUCCAUUUCCGUUAGUAAAACCGUUCGUACUUCAAUUUUUCCGUUAACUUUCGGUUUAAAUUAAUUAAAGUGGGACUUUUAUUAUGACCUCAUGAGUAUCCAAACGCAUUAGAAACACAUGAAAACAUCCUAAAUUAUUAUUUAGAAAAUUUUUAGUUACGACUACGUCAGGUUACAACCAUUAAAUCAGGUAUGAUCAAAAGCCUCGUUUAACGUCAGUAUUGGGUAGAAUUCCAUCGGGCCAUAAACUCAACCCCUAUAUAAGGUAUUAAGUGACAUCAUUUUGAAGCUUUUUCUCUCUCUUAAAACACUUUCUCUCACUACUCUCUCUCUCUAAAAUCCGACUUUGAUCCAAAAUCAUCCAUUUCAAGCUCCAAUUUGGUAAGAAAUCUAUCCUAGCAUGUUUCUAAGUUUGUCUAACUUACAAAUCUAUGUUUAAAUCACCCAAAACACCCAAGAACUUGUUUUUACGGUCUAGGAACCCUCCCAAAACCGUGAACUCCUUUAAAUGGGGUUUUGAAGCCCCAAAACCCUUCCAAACCACCUCUAGUGCUUAGUUAUGACCUUUGAACUUGCAGGAAUGGACUUAGAGCACCAAAAUCUUACAAUUUAGGGGGUAAACUUGAGUUUAUGGACCAAGAACAUGCUUGGACCAUAAACCCUCAUUCAUAGACCAUAAACACCUUUUAAGGUGUUAAAUUUCCCCUUAAACACCUCCAAAAGCUUCUAUGAGCUUCCAUGAGUGCAUAGAACCUUAUAUUCCUUCAUGAGAUGCACCAAAACACACACACAAAUGAUUCACACUUGAGUUUAUGGCCCAAGAACAUUCUUGGACCGUAAACACCCCUUCUUAGACCAUAAACACCUCAAAAGGGUGUUAAAGUGCCCUUAACACCUUGUAUGGCUUAGAAUUGGGUCUAGAUCUUAGCAUGCCUAACCUACAACCACCAAAACACAUGAUUCAUGGACAAACCUGAGUUUACGGCCGUAAACUCAUGUGUUUAAGGUAGUAAACUCACCAAGAACGUCUUCUUAGACCGCAAACUCCUUUUCCAAGGUCAAUUCAAGUCCCGAUCACUUCCUAAGCCAUGGAAUCAACCCUAGAACCUUCCUUUGUGCAUUGUAAGACCAUUUAGCACCCAAGAACACACCACCCAUGAGUUUACGGCCGUAAACUCAUGGGGAUAUGGUCAUUGGACCGUAAACUCCCCUAAGGGCUUACUCUUGAAGAGUAAACUCCUUAUCUAGGCCCUACACACCCUUAGAUGCAACCCGGGUCACUCCAAACACUUGAAUUGAAGUGUUUUCGCAUCUAGAAGUGUUUAUUCUUAUUUAAUUAAUAGAUCAAGGUCUAAUUAGAUACAAUUUAUGUAUCUAUUCAUAUUACAUAGGAACCUCACGUGUUCUCAAUCCUCGAACUGACAGUUAGCAUCCAACCGGCACACUUCUCGACUGGUGAGUUCAUACCCCUACGCCUUUUUCGGUGUUUUUCAAUGUUUUCAGGGGGGAAUACAAGCAAAUUAUAAAUGUUUUCAAAACUUAAAACUGAUGUAAUUCUAUAAAUAUCUGGCUAACUUUUAGAUAUCUUUACCCCUUUUGUAUCAUGCAAAGCAUAAGGGAUGUUUUACUGAAUAUAACUAAGUAUAUUUCAAUUACAGUGUAAGAAACAAUCAAAACAAUCAAAUUAUUAUGAGAAUAAUUUGGGAUUUUCGGUUCUUGUUUUACGAGCAUAGAUUUAUGUAAAGUUAAUAGAUAAACUAUGUCUUCAGUUUAUCUCUAUUUAAUUUAGAGUAUUAUGCCAGAUAAUUUCAUUUUAUUAAACUGUUUUUACUGUAUUAUGUUUCAAAACAGUUUGUAUGUUUGAUAAUGACCGAGAACACCGUGAAUAAUUUAAUACUAGCUUGUGAGACUAUCUUCAUUAAACCCUUCGGGUCAUCAGUAAAUCCUCCCCGAAAAUGUAACUAGAGUCUCCUGGAGGGAGAGCGUAGAAUUUGUGAAUAGAUCUAUUCGAGACUGACAAUCCCACACCUAAACUGCUAGCUACAAUUAGGCAGGCACGCCUGGGGUGACAAAUUCUGGAUAUCGUCCGACGCCUAAAGAACGUCAAGGAGGUCUCGUUGUCAUAUUAGCAUGGUUACCCGACUCACAA